This 299-nucleotide unclassified non-coding RNA is filed under the name Hevea brasiliensis (rubber tree). The record is from RNAcentral. Lineage: Eukaryota; Viridiplantae; Streptophyta; Magnoliopsida; Malpighiales; Euphorbiaceae.
UUAGGGUGACGAUCGACUUGGUUGAGAUGGUUUUCGCUAAGGGAGAUCCUGGAAUAGCUGCUCUGUAUGACAAAUUGCUGGUGUCUGAAGAACUGCAGUCAUUUGGGGAACGACUCAGAGCCAACUACGAGGAAACCAAACAGUUGCUUCUUCAGGUUGCUGGUCAUAAAGAUGUUCUUGAAGGGGAUCCUUAUCUGAAACAGAGGCUUCGUCUGCGUGAUCCUUACAUCACGACUCUAAAUGUUCAUCAAGCUUACACUCUGAAGCAGAUCAGGGACCCAAGCUAUAAUGUGAAGGUG